GGUGGCCAGCGUUAGCCGGAUUUAUUGGUGCGAAAGCGAGCGCAGGGGGUUUUUUAAGGCUGAGGGAAGGGCCACGGCUGACCGAUAAGUCAUCGGAACUGGGAAAAUGAGACAGAACAGGGAGUGCAACUCCGAGUGUAGCGGUGACUGCGUAGAUAUAUGUAAGAACACCAGUGGUGAAGGCUGAUGUCGAACUGUAACUGAGGCUGAGGACGGAGCCGUGGUAGCCAAACGGGAUUAGAUACCCUGGCAGUCCAUGCCGUAAAACGAUGCCUGCUAGGGGGUGGGAGGGAUAUCCGCCCGUGUGUGCCGCGGCAAACCCCAUUAGGAAUUUCCGCCUGGGGGAAGUACGACCCCCGAGGUUUAAAACUCAAAGGAAUU
RNAcentral lists this ribosomal RNA (381 nucleotides) under uncultured bacterium. Its description in RNAcentral is "bacterial SSU rRNA". It matches the Rfam family "Bacterial small subunit ribosomal RNA", at positions 530 to 911 of the family's 1533-position model. The record is from RNAcentral.